RNAcentral lists this ribosomal RNA (388 nucleotides) under Gephyrocapsa cf. muellerae. RNAcentral's name for it is "partial small subunit ribosomal RNA". It matches the Rfam family "Eukaryotic small subunit ribosomal RNA", at positions 582 to 975 of the family's 1831-position model. Lineage: Eukaryota; Haptophyta; Isochrysidales; Noelaerhabdaceae. The record is from RNAcentral.
AUUCCAGCUCCAAUAGCGUAUAUUAAAGUUGUUGCAGUUAAAACGCUCGUAGUCGGAUUUCGGGGCGGGCCGACCGGUCUGCCGAUGGGUAUGCACUGGCCGGCGCGUCCUUCCACCCGGAGACCGCGCCUACUCUUAACUGAGCGGGCGCGGGAGACGGGUCUUUUACUUUGAAAAAAUCAGAGUGUUUCAAGCAGGCAGUCGCUCUUGCAUGGAUUAGCAUGGGAUAAUGAAAUAGGACUCUGGUGCUAUUUUGUUGGUUUCGAACACCGGAGUAAUGAUUAAUAGGGAUAGUUGGGGGCAUUCGUACUUAACUGUCGGAGGUGAAAUUCUUGGAUUUGUUAAAGACGGACUACUGCGAAAGCAUUUGCCAAGGAUGUUUUCAUCA